Molecule: long non-coding RNA, 4286 nt
Organism: Equus caballus (horse)
Lineage: Eukaryota; Metazoa; Chordata; Mammalia; Perissodactyla; Equidae
Source: Ensembl
CCGAAACCACCGGCCAGACCCGCCUGAACCACGUGCCGAGCAUGCCAGAACCACCUGCUUGACUCGCCGGAACCACCUACCUGACGCACCAAAAUCACCUUCCGGUUAUGCCAGAACCACUUGGUGGACACUCCAGAAUCAUAUGCCGGACAUGCCAGAACCAGCUCUCAGACACACCAGAACCACGUGCCGGAGACGCGGGAAGCACCUGCUGAGCAUGCCUGAGCCACCUGCUCGACUCGCAAGAAACACCUGCCGGACACGCCAAAAUCACCUGCUGGGUACGCCAGAACCACUUGGCGUACACUCCGGAAUCACCUGUCAGGCAUGCCAGAAACACCUCUCAGACUUGCCAGAACCAUGUUCCAGACAUGCCGGUACCACCUGAGGAGCAUGCCGGAACCACCUGAUCCACACCCCAGAACCAUCUGCUGGACACGCCAAGAUCACCUGCCGGCUACGACACAGCCACUUGUCGGACACUCCGGAAUCACCUGCCGGGCAUGCUGGAACCACCUCUCAGAGUUGCCACAACCACAUGCCGGAGACGGCCGAAGCACCUGCCGAGAAUGCCGGAAGUUCCUGAUCCACUCCCCAGAACCACCUGCCGGACACGGCAAAAUCACCUUCCGGCUAUGCCAGAACCACUUGGCAGACACUCCAGAAUCACCAGCCGGGCAUGCCAGCACAACCUCUCAGAAGUGCCAGAAGCACGUGCCAGACAGGCCGCAACCAUCUCCCGGAAAGACCGGAACCACAGGAAACACUCGCCGGAAUGACCUGCUCGACUCACCAGAGCCACCUGCCGGACACACCAGAAACACCUGCUGGCUACGCCAGAACCACUUGGCGGACACUCCGGAAUCACCUGUCGGGCAUGCCGGAACCACCUCUCAGACUUGCCAGAACCAUGUUCCGGACUCGCCGGUACCACCUGCCGAGUAUCCCGGAACCACCUGAUCCACUCCUCAGAACCACCUGCCGGACACGCCAAAAUCACCUGCCGGCUAUGCCAGAACUGCUCGGCAGACACUCCGGAAUCACCUGCCGGGCAUGCCGGAACCACCUCUCAGAGGUGCCACAACCACGUGCUGGAGAGUCCAGAAGCAACUGCCGAGCACGCCGGAACCACCUGCUCGACUCCCCAGAACCACCUGCCGGACACGCCAAAAUCACCUGCCGGCUACGCCACAACCAGUUGGUGAACACUUCAGAAUCACCUGCUGCGCUUGCCGGAACCACCUGCCGGUCACACCAAAAUCACCUGCCGGCUACGCCAGAACCACUCGGCAGAGACUCCGGAACCACCUCCAGGACAGACUGGAAUCAACUGCUGGACACGCUGAGACCACCUGCUUGACUCUCCAGAACCACCUGCCGGACCCGCCAAAAUCACCAGCCGGCUACGCCACAACCACUUGUCGGACACUCCGGAAUCACCUGCCGGGCAAUUGGAACCACCUCUCAGAGGUGCCACAACAACAUACCGGAGACGGCGGAAGCACCUGCCGAGAAUGCCGGAAGUUCCUGAUCCACUCCACAGAACCACCUGCUGGACACGCCAAAAUCACCUGCCAGCUACGCCACAACCAGUUGGUGAACACUUCAGAAUCAACUGCCGUGCUUGCUGGAAGCACCUGCCAGUCAUGCCAAUAUCACCUGCCAGCUACGCCAGAACCACUUGGCGGACACUCCGGAAACACCUGUCUGGCCUGCCGGAACCACCUGCUCGACUCGCCAGAACCACCUGCCGGACACGCCAAAAUCACCUGUCGGCUACGCCAGAACAACUUGGCAGACACUACGGAAUCACCUUGCGGCAUGCCAGAACCACCUCUCAGACACACCAGAACCACAUGGCGGAGACGCCGGAAGCACCUGCUGAGCAAGCCAGAGCCAGCUGCUUGACUCCCAAAAACACCUGCCGGACACGCCAAAAUCACCUGCCGGGUACGCCAGAACCACCAGGUGGAUACUCUGGAAUCAUCUGCCAGACAUGCCAGAACCAGCUCUCAGACACACCAGAACCCCGUGCCGGAGACGCCGGAAGCACCUGCUGAGUGUGCCUAAGCCACCUGCUCGACUCCCAAAAACACCUGCCGGACACGCCAAAAUCACCUGCCGGCUACGCCAGAACAACUUGGGAGACACUCCAGAAUCACCUGUCGGGCAUGCCGGAAGCACCUCUAAGACUCUCCAGAACCACAUGCCAAUGACACCAGAAGCACCUGCCGAGCACGCCGGAACCAAACUGCUCGACUUGCCAGAAUCACCUGCCGGACACGCCAAAAACUCUUGCCGCCUAGGCCACAACCAGUUGGUGAACACUUCGGAAUCAGCUGCCGGGAUUGCUGGAACCACCUGCCGGUCACGCCAACAUCACAUGCCAGGUACGCCAGAACCACUUGGACACUCCGGAAAAACCUGUCGGGCCAGCCGGAACCACCUCUCAGACUUGCCAGAACCAUGUACCGGACAAGCCAGUACCACCUGCCGAGUAUGCCGGGACGACCUGAUCCACUCCACAGAACCACCUGCUGGACACGCCAAAAUCACCUGCCGGCUACGCCAGAACCACUCGGCAGACACUCCGCAACCACCUCCAGGACAGACCGGAACCACCUGUCGGACACGCCGGGAACACCUGCUUGAGUCGCCAGAACCACCUGCCGGACACGCCAAAAUCACCAGCUGGCUACGCCACAACCACUUGUCGGACACUCCGGAAUCACCUGCCGGGCAUGCUGGAACCACCUCUCAGAGGUGCCACAACCACAUGCCGGAGACCGCGGAAGCACCUGCCGAGAAUGCUGGAUGUUCCUGAUCCACUCCACAGAACCACCUGCCGGACACACCAAAAUCACCUGCCGGGUAUGCCAGAACCACUUGGUGGACACUCCGAAAUCAUCUGCCGGACAUGCCAGAACCAGCUCUCAGACACACCAGAAACACGUGACGGAGACGCCGGAAGCACCUGCUGAGCAUGCCUGAGCCACCUGCUCGACUCGCAAGAAACACCUGCCGGACACGCCAAAAUCACCUGCCCGCUACACCAGAACCAGUUUGCGGACAAGCCGGAAUCACGUAACUGGCAUGCCGACACAACCUCUCAGACUUGCCAGAACCUCGUGCUGGACACCCCAGGACCACCUGGCGGACAGACCGGAACCACAUGCCAGACACGCCGGAACCACCGGCUCGACUCGCCGGAACCACCACCGGACAUGCAAAAUCACCUGCCGGCUACACCAGAACUGCUUGGCGAACACUCCAGAAUCACCAGCCGUGCAUGCCGGAACCACCUCUCAGACAUCCCAGAACCACAUGCCAAUGACACCGGAAGCACCUGCUCGACUCGCCAGAACCACCUGCCAUACAUGCCAAAAGCACCUGCCGGCUACGCCACAACCAGUUGGUGAACACUUCAGAAUCACCUGUCAGGCUUUCUGGAACCACCUGCCGGUCACAACAACAUCACCUGCCAGCUGCGCCAAAACCAUUUGGCGGACACUCCAGAAUCACCUGCCGGGCAUGCCCGUAAAACCUCUCAGAAGGGCCAGAAGCACAUACCCGACAGACCAGAACCAUCUCCCGGACAGACCGGAACCACAGGAAACACUCGCCAGAACCACCUGCUUGUCUCACCGGUCCCUCCUCGCGGACACGCCAAAAUCACCUGCCCACUACACCAGAGCCACUUGCCGGACAAGCCGGAAUCACGUGAAGGGCCUGCCAACACAACCUGUCAGACGUGCCAGAACCUCGUGCCGGACACCGCAGAACCACCUGCCGGACAGACUGGAACCACCUACCGGACACGCCGGACCCACCAGCUCGACGCACCGGAACCACCGCUGGACAUGCAGAAUCACCUGCCGGCUACGCCAGAACCUAUUGGCGAACACUCCGGAAUCAACUGCCGGGCAUGCCGGAACCACCUCUCAGACAUGCCGGAACCACAUGCCAAUGACACCGGAAGCACCUGCCGAGCACGCCGGAACCACCUGCUCGACUCGCCAGAACCACCUACCUGACACACCAAAUCACCUGCCGGGUAUGCCAGAACCACUUGGUGCACCUUCCGGAAUCACCUGUCGGGCAGGUGGAACCACCUCUCAGACUUGCCAGAACCAUGUUCCGGACACGUCGGUAUCACCUGCCACGCAUGCCGGAACCACCUCUCAGACGUGCCAGAAACACGUGCCGGACACGCUGGAAACACCUACCGGACAGACCGGAACCACCUGCCAGACAUGCCGGAACCACCUGCCGAGCACGCCGGAGCC